RNAcentral lists this unclassified non-coding RNA (367 nucleotides) under Hevea brasiliensis (rubber tree). Lineage: Eukaryota; Viridiplantae; Streptophyta; Magnoliopsida; Malpighiales; Euphorbiaceae. The record is from RNAcentral.
ACAAUUACAUAAUAUAAUCAAUUACACUAAAAAUAAUAUAAUAAUCAUUACACACAAGUAUGGACGUAAUCAUAAUUACUUAUUUCAAUUUAAUUUUAUUUAUUCUUAACACUACCACUAUCACUACCACUACCACUUAACCACCGUUACUACCAGUUAGUCAUUACUGCAGCCGCCGUCACCUGGCCAUUACCACCACAGCCACCUCCACUUUCUUAUCACCACCAUCACUACCCCUACCUUACCACCACCACCAUCACCACUCACCCAGUCACCAUUAUUGUGGCCACCACCACUAUCGCCACCACCAUUACACCAUCACUUAGCCAUCACUAUUACUACCACCACCACGAUUACCACUUAGCUA